UUUGCAUACGUUACAUAUAUACUACGAUUUUAAGCAAGUGUGAUUUUCUUGAUCUCUUUUCCUCACAAUUUCUUUAGUAUUGUGUAAAAAAAAUUGAGCGUACGGGGAGAACGAUAUAUUAACAAAAAAUGUCUGGUCGUGAAGGUGGAAAAAAGAAGCCCUUAAAAGCUCCCAAAAAAGAAUCUAAAGAAAUGGACGAUGAUGAAUUAGCUUUCAAACAAAAACAAAAGGAACAACAAAAGGCUUUAGAUGCAGCUAAGCAAAAGGCUUCCCAAAAAGGACCUUUAGUAGGAGGCGGCAUCAAAAAGUCUGGCAAAAAAUAAAUUUUAUAAGCAUUUAUUUAAAUAUGUUACUCUAAAAUCCCUAACAAGUUAACAAUAAAUGUGUACAGCCUUUUUUUUU
Long non-coding RNA from Calliphora vicina (urban bluebottle blowfly), 402 nucleotides. RefSeq lists it as uncharacterized. Lineage: Eukaryota; Metazoa; Arthropoda; Insecta; Diptera; Calliphoridae. The transcript is spliced from 2 exons. The record is from RefSeq and is a predicted model, not a curated record.